GUCGUCGUGGCGGAGUGGUUAAGGCGACAGACUAGAAAUCUGUUGGGCUCUGCCCGCACAGAUUCGAAUCCUGUCGGCGACG
This is a non-coding RNA of Ciona savignyi (Pacific transparent sea squirt), 82 nucleotides long. NCBI's taxonomy places the organism in Eukaryota, Metazoa, Chordata, Ascidiacea, Phlebobranchia, Cionidae. The record is from Rfam.